GUUUCCGUAGGUGAACCUGCGGAAGGAUCAUUCAUAAUAAGUGUUUUACUGCACUUUUUAAAAAUAGUACUCACCUUGUGUGCAAUGGUGUGUUUCUUUUCGGAGAAACACCUACACCAACCUAUAACCUUGAACCACUUUGUCUGAAAAACUAUUAUGAAUACUUAAUUCAAAAUACAACUUUCAACAACGGAUCUCUUGGCUCUC
RNAcentral lists this unclassified non-coding RNA (207 nucleotides) under plant metagenome. RNAcentral describes it as "partial contains small subunit ribosomal RNA, internal transcribed spacer 1, and 5.8S ribosomal RNA". The record is from RNAcentral.